RNAcentral lists this transfer RNA (55 nucleotides) under Phocanema krabbei. Its description in RNAcentral is "Pseudoterranova krabbei tRNA-Val". The record is from RNAcentral. Lineage: Eukaryota; Metazoa; Nematoda; Chromadorea; Rhabditida; Anisakidae.
GAAACUUUUAUUUUAAUUAGAAUAUUUCACUUACAAUGAAGAGGUAAAAAGUUUU